AGCAGCCGCGGUAAUUCCAGCUCCAAUAGCGUAUAUUAAAGUUGUUGCAGUUAAAAAGCUCGUAGUUGAACUUCGGGGUUCACCCAUUGGUCAGGCUUAAUUGUCUGUACUGGUGAGAUGAGUCUCUACCUUCUGAGGAACUUUCAUGCCAUUUAUUUGGUGUGAUGGGAAAUCAGGACUGUUACUUUGAAAAAAUUAGAGUGUUUAAAGCAGGCUAACGUCUGAAUACAUUAGCAUGGAAUAAUGAAAUAGGACGGAUUGAUUCUAUUUCGUUGGUUUCUAGGGUCACCGUAAUGAUUAAUAGGGAUAGUUGGGGGCAUUAGUAUUCAAUUGUCAGAGGUGAAAUUCUUGGAUUUAUUGAAGACUAACUACUGCGAAAGCAUUUGCCAAGGAUGUUUUCAUUAAUCAAGAACGAAAGUUAGGGGAUCGAAGACGAUCAGAUACCGUCGUAGUCUUAACCAUAAACUAUGCCGACUAGGGAUCGGACGCAGUUAAUUUUAUAAUGACGUGUUCGGCACCUUACG
This 524-nucleotide ribosomal RNA is filed under the name uncultured Diversisporaceae. Its description in RNAcentral is "SSU rRNA". It matches the Rfam family "Eukaryotic small subunit ribosomal RNA", at positions 569 to 1092 of the family's 1831-position model. Lineage: Eukaryota; Fungi; Glomeromycota; Glomeromycetes; Diversisporales. The record is from RNAcentral.